CCUACGGGAGGCAGCAGUAGGGAAUUUUGCGCAAUGGGCGAAAGCCUGACGCAGCAACGCCGCGUGAUCGAGACGCCCUUCGGGGUGUAAAGAUCUGUCAGUGGAGACGCAACUUGACGGUACCCACAGAGGAAGCACCGGCGAACUCCGUGCCAGCAGCCGCGGUACUACGGGGGGUGCAAGCGGGGUGCGGAAUCACGGGGCGUAAAGAGUUCGUAGGCGGCAUGUAAAGUCAAGUGUGAAAUCCAGAGGCUCAACGUGGGAACGGCCGUUGAAACUGGCGAACGGGAGUGCGGGAGAGGAUAGUGGAAUUCCAGGUGUAGGAGUGAAAGCCGGAGAUAUCUGGAGGAACAUCAGUGGCGAAGGCGACUAUCUGGCACAUAACUGACGCUGAGGAGCGAAAGCGUGGGUAGCAAACAGGAUUAGAUACCCUUGUAGUC
This 440-nucleotide ribosomal RNA is filed under the name uncultured bacterium. Its description in RNAcentral is "partial 16S ribosomal RNA". It matches the Rfam family "Bacterial small subunit ribosomal RNA", at positions 338 to 795 of the family's 1533-position model. The record is from RNAcentral.